CCUACGGGGGGCAGCAGUUGGGAAUCUUGCACAAUGGGGGAAACCCUGAUGCAGCGACGCCGCGUGGAGGAAGAAGGGUCUAGGCUCGUAAACUCCUUUUUCAGGGAAAGACUUAGGACGGUACCCUGAGACUAAGCUCCGGCUAACUACGUGCCAGCAGCCGCGGUCAGACGUAGGGAGCGAGCGUUGUCCGGAUUUACUGGGCGUAAAGAGCACGUAGGCGGUCUGUUAAGUGAGAAGUGAAAUCUCCAGCGCUCAACGCGGAAACGGCUUUUCAGACUGGCAGACUUGAGGGAUGCAGAGGCAAGUAGAAUUCCUGGUGUACCGGGGAUAUGGGUGGAUAUCAGGAGGAAUACCAAUGGCGAAGGCAGCUUGCUGGGCAUCAGCUGACGCUGAGGUGCGAAAGCGUGGGUAGCAAACAGGAUUAGAUACCCCAGUAGUC
Molecule: ribosomal RNA, 442 nt
Filed under: uncultured bacterium
Lineage: Bacteria
Description: partial 16S ribosomal RNA
Rfam family: Bacterial small subunit ribosomal RNA
Source: RNAcentral